Molecule: non-coding RNA, 135 nt
Organism: Tinamus guttatus (white-throated tinamou)
Lineage: Eukaryota; Metazoa; Chordata; Aves; Tinamiformes; Tinamidae
Source: RefSeq, a predicted model, not a curated record
CCCAGUAUCACAGAAUGGUUUAAGUUGGAAGGGACCUCUGAAGAUCAGCCAGUCCAAUCCCCCUGCUCAAGCACAGUGACCUAGAGCAUAUUGCCCAGGACCAUAUCCUGACUGGUUUUGAAUAUCUCCAGGGAA